This 132-nucleotide small RNA is filed under the name Escherichia coli. Its description in RNAcentral is "RtT sRNA". It matches the Rfam family "RtT RNA". From Rfam's summary of the family: This family represents a bacterial cis-regulatory element known as RtT RNA. The exact function of RtT is unknown although it is thought that it may be involved in changing the cellular response in relation to amino acid starvation. The record is from RNAcentral. Lineage: Bacteria; Pseudomonadati; Pseudomonadota; Gammaproteobacteria; Enterobacterales; Enterobacteriaceae.
AUUCUGCCCAUGCGGGGAAGGAUGAGAAGCUUCGACUAAGGUUCGGCUCGAGCGUCAGCGAGAGAGCGUUGCCACAGGCAACGACCCGAAGGGCGAAGCGCGCAGCGCUGAGUAAUCCUUCCCCCACCACCA